Neopsephotus bourkii (Bourke's parrot) is the source of this 337-nucleotide long non-coding RNA. RefSeq lists it as uncharacterized. The record is from RefSeq and is a predicted model, not a curated record. Lineage: Eukaryota; Metazoa; Chordata; Aves; Psittaciformes; Psittacidae. The transcript is spliced from 2 exons.
UGCACUGCCAUGGCUUCUAGAAGCUUUUGAGGAUGCAUUUCUUGUUCUGCUACUUCAUUUCUAUGGCAUUUUAUGUGUCUGUGACACAAUUGUUAGAUUUCUUGAUUAGCUGAAGCCCAGAAUUCAGAGAUUUCAUGAGUUCUUUGUAUGGAACAGAUCUCCACACAGGGAGAAACCUGACAUUUGAUAAAGAUCUGUUCCUUCAGCGGCAACGUGAGCUGCUAUAACAGUGGCUACACAAAAGACUCCUGUAAGAAUUACCAAACCAGAGGUUUAAAGCUAUUUUUGCUUCAAUAUUCUGUAUCAAAGAGGAUAUUUAAUAAAGGAAUAUUGUGAA